UACGUAGGGGGCUAGCGUUGUCCGGAAUCAUUGGGCGUAAAGAGCGCGUAGGCGGCCAGAUAAGUCCGGUGUGAAAGUCAAAGGCUCAACCUUUGAAUGCCGCUGGAAACUGUCUGGCUAGAGUCCGGGAGGGGCGAGUGGAAUUCCUGGUGUAGCGGUGAAAUGCGUAGAUAUCUGGAGGAACACCGGUGGCGAAAGCGGCUCACUGGACCUGAUCUGACACUAAGGUGCGAAAGCUAGGGUAGCAAACGGG
RNAcentral lists this ribosomal RNA (253 nucleotides) under uncultured bacterium. RNAcentral describes it as "partial 16S ribosomal RNA". It matches the Rfam family "Bacterial small subunit ribosomal RNA", at positions 524 to 776 of the family's 1533-position model. The record is from RNAcentral.